AGUGAACGCUGGCGGUAGGCCUAACACAUGCAAGUCGAACGGCAGCACAGUAAGAGCUUGCUCUUACGGGUGGCGAGUGGCGGACGGGUGAGGAAUACAUCGGAAUCUACUUUUUCGUGGGGGAUAACGUAGGGAAACUUACGCUAAUACCGCAUACGACCUACGGGUGAAAGCAGGGGAUCUUCGGACCUUGCGCGAUUGAAUGAGCCGAUGUCGGAUUAGCUAGUUGGCGGGGUAAAGGCCCACCAAGGCGACGAUCCGUAGCUGGUCUGAGAGGAUGAUCAGCCACACUGGAACUGAGACACGGUCCAGACUCCUACGGGAGGCAGCAGUGGGGAAUAUUGGACAAUGGGCGCAAGCCUGAUCCAGCCAUACCGCGUGGGUGAAGAAGGCCUUCGGGUUGUAAAGCCCUUUUGUUGGGAAAGAAAAGCAGUAGGUUAAUACCCCGCUGUUCUGACGGUACCCAAGGAAUAAGCACCGGCUAACUUCGUG
This 492-nucleotide ribosomal RNA is filed under the name uncultured bacterium. Its description in RNAcentral is "partial 16S ribosomal RNA". It matches the Rfam family "Bacterial small subunit ribosomal RNA", at positions 29 to 507 of the family's 1533-position model. The record is from RNAcentral.